GAAACUGGGGAUAAUACUGGAUAGGCAAUUAUUCCUGUAAUGGUUUUUUGUUUAAAUGUUUUUUCGCCUAAGGAUGAGUCUGCGGCCGAUUAGGUAGUUGGUUAGGUAAUGGCUUACCAAGCCGUUGAUCGGUACGGGUUGUGAGAGCAAGAGCCCGGAGAUGGAACCUGAGACAAGGUUCCAGGCCCUACGGGGUGCAGCAGGCGCGAAACCUCCGCAAUGUGAGAAAUCGCGACGGGGGGAUCCCAAGUGCCAUUCUUAACGGGAUGGCUUUUCAUUAGUGUAAAGAGCUUUUGGAAUAAGAGCUGGGCAAGACCGGUGCCAGCCGCCGCGGUAACACCGGCAGCUCUAGUGGUAACAAUUUUUAUUGGGCCUAAAGCGUCCGUAGCCGGUUUAAUAAGUCUCUGGUGAAAUCCUGCAGCUUAACUGUGGGAAUUGCUGGAGAUACUAUUAGACUUGAGACCGGGAGAGGUUAGAGGUACUCCCAGGGUAGAGGUGAAAUUCUGUAAUCCUGGGAGGACCGCCUGUUGCGAAGGCGUCUAACUGGAACGGUUCUGACGGUGAGGGACGAAAGUUAGGGGCGCGAACCGGAUUAGAUACCCGGGUAGUCCUAACUGUAAACGAUGCGGACUUGGUGUUGGGGUGGCUUUGAGCUGCUUCAGUGCCGAAGGGAAGCUGUUAAGUCCGCCGCCUGGGAAGUACGGUCGCAAGACUGAAACUUAA
This 723-nucleotide ribosomal RNA is filed under the name uncultured archaeon. RNAcentral describes it as "bacterial SSU rRNA". It matches the Rfam family "Archaeal small subunit ribosomal RNA", at positions 136 to 859 of the family's 1478-position model. The record is from RNAcentral.